GUCACUUUGCCGGAGUGGUUAACGGGAUCGCCUGCUAUUAAUUGUCAAAGCGGUUGCUCUUUGAGCGCGUGUGUUCGAAUCGCACAGGUGACG
Molecule: non-coding RNA, 93 nt
Organism: Marasmius sp. AFHP31
Lineage: Eukaryota; Fungi; Basidiomycota; Agaricomycetes; Agaricales; Marasmiaceae
Source: the annotation of a GenBank genome assembly